This is a long non-coding RNA of Poecilia latipinna (sailfin molly), 410 nucleotides long. RefSeq lists it as uncharacterized. The record is from RefSeq and is a predicted model, not a curated record. Lineage: Eukaryota; Metazoa; Chordata; Actinopteri; Cyprinodontiformes; Poeciliidae. The transcript is spliced from 2 exons.
AUCUUCAUUUUGUGUCCGUGUUCCUUGAAGUAAGAUGAGUUCGUUGGCACGUCGUAGAUGAAAGAUGAAAACUUGUUAAUAGGAAAAACAAAGAUGAUCCUCUCGUCUCCAGCAGCUCAUUUUCCUUAUAGUUUUGAACUCAGGGUCGUCAGCUCAGUAACCGAUGCUCACCUAUUUAGGGAUUAUUGUGCCCAGAAUUUGGUGAGUUUAACAAAGAGGUCGUUCCCUCUUUUCCAAUUUGAAUGAAAGAAAUCCUGAUGAACAUCUAGGUGUGAGGUCGUCCUCCGGCCAGGGCUGAAGGUCCUCAGUCACCCCAGGUUGUGGUCCUUUGUUAUCCAAUGAGGUCAUCAGCUGGUCGGCAUACUGGAACAGAGUCUGUCACCUAUCUAGAGCUCCUUAAUGUAUUUUAA